UAGAUCGGUGCACUAGCUGUGCUGAUGAGCCCCAAAAAGGGCGAAACAGCUGCAUGUCCACAGUUGCCGUUGUUUGAGCU
Non-coding RNA from Paramuricea clavata, 80 nucleotides. The record is from the annotation of a GenBank genome assembly. Lineage: Eukaryota; Metazoa; Cnidaria; Anthozoa; Malacalcyonacea; Plexauridae.